This 1023-nucleotide long non-coding RNA is filed under the name Felis catus (domestic cat). RNAcentral describes it as "lncRNA (ENSFCAG00000052640.1)". Lineage: Eukaryota; Metazoa; Chordata; Mammalia; Carnivora; Felidae. The record is from RNAcentral.
CAUGUGACCUGCAGGAAGCAAAGGGAUGGAAAUGAAAGAGACUGCCAAUAUUUGUCUCCUGGCAGUUAAACCCUCCCUUGAAAGAACUGAACAUUUUGGAGAUUCUGAUUGAAGAAAUCUCUGUUAUCCCACAGUUUCCAUCAUUUCCAACUAUAUCCCAACACCAGUAUAAAUCCCAGGUGAGUUUUAGUAAGUGCUCUCAAAGACCAAUGGGUAACUUCCUAGGUGCUCACUUACCAAGAUUUUUGCAUGGAAGAGAAGAUACUGGAAAUGCUAUGUUGUUCAUCAUAGCCUCCAAUUAAUUCAUAGUCUAAAACACUCCUUUAAGUUGUCAUAUCUGUGAAGCUCCUUUCCUCAAGCAAAACCAGAUGGCGUAAUGCAUCUAUCCAAACCAACCCAUUAGCUUCAGUGUUUUGUUCUGUUUCUGUUUUUUGGCAAUGUCACUUUCAUCCCACCUUUUGAAAUUGUGAUUCAUUCUCUCUGGCUUUGCAAUGCCUUUCAGAUUAUAUUCUGAGUACUGUCUUACUCAUUAAAACAUUUGUCUCCUCACUAUAAAUCAUGACUUGGCUUUCCCUCUAGCUAACUUGUCUUAAUGUAUCUUGGAUAAAUUCUGUGUAUGUUUAGAUCUGGACAAACAUACAACUAUGUCACUGAGAUGAACUUCCACUAAGAUAAUUCUGUUUUCCAGUGGGAACUAAAAAACAAUUGAUGGCUUCAAAAUUCAUGAAGUAUUUAUUGAGUACCUGACAUGUAACAAUGUAUUGUGGUGAAGAUAUGAUGGUAAACAAGAAUGAUAUUCUCUCUCCUUUCACAGAGAAUUUAGUUUUAUGAGAUAGAAAGGCAGGUCAAAGUUGUCUUUUUUUUUUCUUUCUUUCCCAUAAAAUAAGUAAUGCUAUUAAAAGGAAUUCCAGGAUAUCAGGGGAAAAUCUAUGCAUAUAUAAUGAGAUGGAAGGGGAUCUCUAACUAGUUAGAAUAUAAAUGGAGACCAAAGAAUGUGCUGAAGUUGUAACUUUAAAGGAUUGG